This 2216-nucleotide ribosomal RNA is filed under the name Dendronephthya suensoni. RNAcentral describes it as "16S ribosomal RNA". It matches the Rfam family "Bacterial large subunit ribosomal RNA". Lineage: Eukaryota; Metazoa; Cnidaria; Anthozoa; Malacalcyonacea; Nephtheidae. The record is from RNAcentral.
UCUAUCGGUAAGGACGUGAAAUACGAAAUAACAAGGGAGAGACUUUGAACUUGUUUAUCCUAACUGAAAAGGGUAAGUUGAAUAGUUAAUUGAAACAUCUUACUAAACUAUGAGGAAUACAUCAACUGAGAUUCCGUGCGUAGCGGCGAGCGAUAGCGGAGAAAUUGUCUUAAACAGAUAAUUAAGAUGAUUGGACAUCUAGACUAAACCCCGAUAGACACCUAUAGAGAAAGUACCGUGAGGGAAAGACUCAGAAUUGGUUCUAAAAGUUACCUUUUGCAUAAUGGGCCUGCAAGACAAGAUUUGGCAAGCUUAAGUAGUAAAUGAAGGCGUAGUGAUAGCAAGACAAACUCGUUAGUCAAAUUUUCCCGAAACCAAGUGAUCUAACCAUGGCCAGGUAGCUAUGCUGACCGAACCAGUGAUUGUGGCAAAAAUCUUGGAUGAGCUGUGGUUAGCGGUGAAAUACUAGUCGAACUUGGAUAUAGCUGGUUCUCUACGAAACUUAUCUUAGUAAGGCGCCCCAAGCUGAUUCGCCCCCAAACCCCGGGGGUUUGAAUUACUGGUGUAGUAAGACUAUGGCGAUAAGGCCCCUAGUCAAGAGGGGGAAGCCCCAACCAGAAAUUAAAGUCACUAAUACAGAUUAAGUGUAUAAAGGCCCCAACCAGAAAUUAAAGUCACUAAUACAGAUUAAGUGUAUAAAGAGGGCUCAACUUAGACAAACAGAAAGUAGGCUUGGAAACAGCCAUCUGCACAGGAAAACGUAAAAGUUCACUGAAUGAGCCAGGGACCUCUAAUAAUUAAGGCGGCUAAAUCUGUAACUGAAAUUCUGGAAGCCAGACCGUAAGGAAGCAUCAACUGGCUUGUUAGUAGAGCGUUCUGUAGGCACGAUAUGUGCGCACCUUGUAAGAUAAACAGAAGUGAUAAUGCAGGCAUGAGUAGUACAAGAUUAACUCCCAAAUAAAUAUAUAUAUGUAUACAGCUUCUAAGGACAUUAUGCCCGAUGAAUUAUAAUUUUUAUACCUGUUCAGGAAAAAUAUUAUGGUACUUCGUACCUUCAACUGUUAUUUAUGGGAUUUAUAUCUAGGCAUAAUUUCUCUUAAGGAACUCGGCAAAAUAAGAUCUCGACUGUUUACCAAAAACAUAGCUCUCUGCUAAAGGCUACUUAAGUAUAGGGGGUGAAUUCUGCCCAAUGGUUGUACAGUGAAACUAAGUACUAACGUAUAAAGCGAAACCCAACUGAAUGGCCGCGGUAACUCUGACCGUGAUAAUGUAGCACAAUAAAUAGCCAAUUAAUUGUUGGCGGGUAUGAAUGGAACCACGAGGGUUUUACUGUCUCAAGAGGAAAGCCGAUGAAAUUAUAGUUGUAGUGAAGAUACUACAUAGACAUUGUAAGACGAAAAGACCCUAUCGAGCUUUACUGGAUACCGAUAGCGUUAACUCAAAAUGAUCGAUACUAAGUAUUCUAAUUUUGAGUUAAUAAUUUUUGUUGGUGGGACAGUUUAGUUGGGGCGACUGCCUUUGAAUAAGAAACGAAGGCGAGCUUAUGGUAUACAAAGCUAAUCUCAUUAGCCUGACAGUGAGGGGGACACCCCUAGCUGGCACAAGGACUACAUCCUAUGUGGGCGAUAAUGACCCGAUAUAAUUGUCCAAAAUAAAUAUCGAAAGCGAAUAAAAGCUACCGUAGGGAUAACAGCGUAAUAUUGUCGGAGAGUUCUUAUCGAGGACAGUGUUUGCGACCUCGAUGUUGAAUUGCGGUGCCCUGGUGCUGUAGAAGGUACCCUAGGUUGGUCUGUUCGACCAUGAAAACCGUACAUGAUUUGAGUUCAGAGCGUGGUGACACAGCUCGGUUUCUAUCUACAAUGUUCAAUCCCAACUUUUUUGAGUCCUAGUACGCAAGGAAUGGUCUCAGCGAUGCUCGACUAUAUUGGCCCCAUCGAUGUAAUUAACUUCUGGCUGCUGCAAAGAAGGAGAACAAAAGGUUUAGGGAUUAAUAAGAUCACCUUCUUAUAUGCCAUGUGGGUGCAUAGCCCCUGGCAUACUAUGGAAUUAACACUAGGGCUCAUCAUACUAAUAGUGUUGACGUAUGGAUUAAAGGCCCCUACUUUAAGAUUAGCUAUGCUACUUGCGGGGGCUGCUGGGCUAUUAGCUGUGCCCCACCUACUAUGUUGGACACAGGCGAUUAAGAUGUUGGUGAUGCUUAGUGGGUUAGCUAUACU